This 491-nucleotide ribosomal RNA is filed under the name uncultured bacterium. Its description in RNAcentral is "partial 16S ribosomal RNA". It matches the Rfam family "Bacterial small subunit ribosomal RNA", at positions 29 to 506 of the family's 1533-position model. The record is from RNAcentral.
AGUGAACGCUGGCGGUAGGCCUAACACAUGCAAGUCGAACGGCAGCACAGUAAGAGCUUGCUCUUACGGGUGGCGAGUGGCGGACGGGUGAGGAAUACAUCGGAAUCUACUUUUUCGUGGGGGAUAACGUAGGGAAACUUACGCUAAUACCGCAUACGACCUACGGGUGAAAGCAGGGGAUCUUCGGACCUUGCGCGAUUGAAUGAGCCGAUGUCGGACUAGCUAGUUGGCGGGGUAAAGGCCCACCAAGGCGACGAUCCGUAGCUGGUCUGAGAGGAUGCUCCCCCCCACUGGAACUGGACCACGGCCCAAGCCCUUACGGGGGCGCGCAGUGGGGAAUUUUGGAAAAUGGGCGCAAGCCUGAUCCAGCCAUCCCGCGUGGGUGAAGAAGGCCUUCGGGUUGUAAAGCCCUUUUUUUGGGAAAGAAAAGCAGCAGGUUAAUACCCCGCUGUUCUGACGGUACCCAAAAAAUAAGCCCCGGCUAACUUCGU